CGUGUAGGCGGUGUCGUGUGUCUGACGUGAAAGCCCCGGGCUCACCCCGGGAAGUGCGUUGGAAACUGCGAGACUAGAGUCCCGGAGAGGAAGGUGGAAUUCCAGGUGUAGCGGUGAAAUGCGUAGAUAUCUGGAAGAACACCGGCGGCGAAGGCGGCCUUCUGGACGGUGACUGACGCUGAGACGCGAAAGCGUGGGGAGCAAACA
Molecule: ribosomal RNA, 207 nt
Filed under: uncultured bacterium
Lineage: Bacteria
Description: partial 16S ribosomal RNA
Rfam family: Bacterial small subunit ribosomal RNA
Source: RNAcentral